Molecule: ribosomal RNA, 460 nt
Filed under: uncultured bacterium
Lineage: Bacteria
Description: partial 16S ribosomal RNA
Rfam family: Bacterial small subunit ribosomal RNA
Source: RNAcentral
CCUACGGGUGGCAGCAGUGGGGAAUAUUGGGCAAUGGGCGUAAGCCUGAACCAGCCAAGUCGCGUGAGGGAUGAAGGUUCUAUGGAUCGUAAACCUCUUUUAUAAGGGAAUAAAGUGCGGGACGUGUCCCGUUUUGUAUGUACCUUAUGAAUAAGGAUCGGCUAACUCCGUGCCAGCAGCCGCGGUAAUACGGAGGAUCCGAGCGUUAUCCGGAUUUAUUGGGUUUAAAGGGUGCGUAGGCGGCCUUUUAAGUCAGCGGUGAAAGUCUGUGGCUCAACCAUAGAAUUGCCGUUGAAACUGGGAGGCUUGAGUAUGUUUGAGGCAGGCGGAAUGCGUGGUGUAGCGGUGAAAUGCAUAGAUAUCACGCAGAACGCCGAUUGCGAAGGCAGCAUACCGGCGCCCGACUGACGCUGAGGCACGAAAGCGUGGGGAUCGAACAGGAUUAGAUACCCUGGUAGUC